AGCCAUGCAUGCCUUCGAAUAGGAGGAAGCAAUUCUCUCUGAAUCUGCGAACGGCUCCGCAAACCAGUUGUAAACUAUAGCAAGCAAGCCUGGGCUCAGCCUUCACGGGCAGGGACCGGGCGAUAUGGAUAACCCUGGUAAUUCUGAGGCUAAUACAAGAGCGUAACCCCUGGCUGACCGGCUUCGGCUGGGAGGCUGGGGGACGUGCGAUUGCGGCUUGGGUAUACCGGGAAAGGGCGCACGUUCAGACCGCGCUACAAAGGAUCGGGACCCCCUCGGGGGACCUGGCCCCAGCGGCUCUUGCUGUGUGCUUCUGACCUAUCAACUAGACGGCAGCGUAAGGGACAUGCUAUGGUGACAACGGGUACAGAGGAUUAGGGUUCGAUCCUGGAGAGUGGGCCUGAGAGAUUGCUCAUACUUCUAAGGAAGGCAGCAGGCGCGCAACGUUCCCCUUGGGCAAUGCCCGAGGGCGUUAGGGGACAUAUGAAUGCCUGCCCAUUGGGUGGGCAAUUCAAAUGGGUCUGUUCUAAACAGGCUCUCGAGUAACAUU
Molecule: ribosomal RNA, 550 nt
Filed under: Lamproderma pulchellum
Lineage: Eukaryota; Evosea; Eumycetozoa; Stemonitida; Stemonitidae
Description: SSU rRNA
Rfam family: Eukaryotic small subunit ribosomal RNA
Source: RNAcentral